GUAGGGAAUAUUGGACAAUGGGCGAAAGCCUGAUCCAGCAAUGCCGCGUGAGUGAUGAAGGCCUUAGGGUUGUAAAGCUCUUUUACCAGGGAUGAUAAUGACAGUACCUGGAGAAUAAGCUCCGGCUAACUCCGUGCCAGCAGCCGCGGUAAUACGGAGGGAGCUAGCGUUGUUCGGAAUUACUGGGCGUAAAGCGCGCGUAGGCGGCGAUUUAAGUCAGAGGUGAAAGCCCGGGGCUCAACCCCGGAAUAGCCUUUGAGACUGGAUUGCUAGAAUCCUGGAGAGGUGAGUGGAAUUCCGAGUGUAGAGGUGAAAUUCGUAGAUAUUCGGAAGAACACCAGUGGCGAAGGCGGCUCACUGGCCCAAUACUGACGCUGAGGCGCGAAAGCGUGGGGAGCAAACAGGAUUAGAUACCCUAGUAGUCC
This 425-nucleotide ribosomal RNA is filed under the name uncultured bacterium. Its description in RNAcentral is "partial 16S ribosomal RNA". It matches the Rfam family "Bacterial small subunit ribosomal RNA", at positions 354 to 796 of the family's 1533-position model. The record is from RNAcentral.